UUCCUGCUAGGCUACAUACGUCUGCCAUUUCCUUGCUGGAGUGUGACGUGAUUUGUGUCAUGUGCAGGUGCACUGGAUCACGUACAAACCAAUAGGGGAUCGGAAUGUUUUUGAUGAUGUUUU
Molecule: long non-coding RNA, 123 nt
Organism: Etheostoma cragini (Arkansas darter)
Lineage: Eukaryota; Metazoa; Chordata; Actinopteri; Perciformes; Percidae
Exons: 3
Source: RefSeq, a predicted model, not a curated record